Molecule: ribosomal RNA, 450 nt
Filed under: uncultured bacterium
Lineage: Bacteria
Description: partial 16S ribosomal RNA
Rfam family: Bacterial small subunit ribosomal RNA
Source: RNAcentral
GUGGGGAAUAUUGGACAAUGGGCGCAAGCCUGAUCCAGCCAUGCCGCGUGUGUGAAGAAGGCCUUCGGGUUGUAAAGCACUUUUGUCCGGGAAGAAAUCUUCCAGGUUAAUACCCUGGGAGGCUGACGGUACCGGAAGAAUAAGCACCGGCUAACUUCGUGCCAGCAGCCGCGGUAAUACGAAGGGUGCAAGCGUUACUCGGAAUUACUGGGCGUAAAGCGUGCGUAGGUGGUUCGUUAAGUCUGCCGUGAAAGCCCCGGGCUCAACCUGGGAAUGGCGGUGGAUACUGGCGGGCUAGAGUGCGGUAGAGGGUGGUGGAAUGCCCGGUGUAGCAGUGAAAUGCGUAGAGAUCGGGAGGAACAUCUGUGGCGAAGGCGGCCACCUGGACCAGCACUGACACUGAGGCACGAAAGCGUGGGGAGCAAACAGGAUUAGAAACCCUAGUAGUAC